This is a long non-coding RNA of Nyctereutes procyonoides (raccoon dog), 1683 nucleotides long. RefSeq lists it as uncharacterized. NCBI's taxonomy places the organism in Eukaryota, Metazoa, Chordata, Mammalia, Carnivora, Canidae. The transcript has 5 exons. The record is from RefSeq and is a predicted model, not a curated record.
CCCUGACACACUGGCUGAGGUGCCCCAGUUCCCCGAGACUGGCCGGGAUCACUUCCGGUGGGGAAAGUCCCUCCUCUCCGGGGCCAGCCGGGCGGCUCUGGGGCCGCGCCCUGUCGAGUGAGGCGGCAGGGGACGGUCUCGGUUCGGGGCCGCGGCCUUGGCAAAGGGCCUCUCAGAGAACCUCCGGCGGCCUUCCCUUUCCCGCCCGCAACCCCGGCUGCUGACUGUCGCAUCCCGAAGGCACCAAACCCCUUGGCGUCUCCGCGGCUCGCAGUCGGAGGACUCGCGCCGCCGGCUGGCGAGUGCUGGACGGCGGGUUACCCUCCGGCCCCCAGGAGAGCACCCAACAUCCCGGCUCGAGAAGGCGCAAGGAAAAUAAAGCGGCCAAGAAAGUUCAUUCUCCUUGCUCGUGUUUCGAACACUUGAUGUUUCUCUAGAAACGCGUGCGAACUACCCUUCGACUUCACUACCGCUCUUAAUCCGUUUGUGAUGGGUCUUACUUGGCCAUGCCUGACAAAUAAUUAAAUGCAGUACUUUUAUCAACUGGCAAAUCGGCUUGACUCCACCAGCAAAUGCCAAAGUCACUCCUUCCCUUCUUAUCACAAGGCUCAAAAACAACAGGAAUAGAAACACUUUAUCUGACGAUAACUCAGCUUUGCCAUAUUUGAUUCUAACCACUACACGGCGGGAAAGGAACUUGGGCACCUCUGCAUCCCACAGCUUCCUUUGUCUCAAGAGGACUUCCAGGGGGAUUGGAGAGCUCUUGACAGCUGAGCAGCAUCUACAGGAGAGAGAGGAUUGAGCACAAACAGGGGGAGCAACAGAUGGAGAGGGAGAAGCAGGCACCCUGCUGAGCAGGGAGCCCAACGUGGGACUCCAUCCCAGGACUCUGGAAUCAUGAUCUGAGCCAAAGGCAGACGCUUCACUGACUGAGCCCUCCAGGAGCCCGAAGUAGACAAUAUUCUAAUGCGGUGUGGUAAAUCCAAUGACAGUUAUAUGCGGAAGGGGCAUCUCCCCAGGAUGCAGAGAAUAGAGGACAAAAGUAGCAGUUGUGCCUGCAUGUCUGCCACUUCUGGGCCACUUUUCCUGAAUGGUCUGAGUGCCCCUCAGGCCCCACAGUCUCAUCCCAAUGACUCUUGAGGUCCUCUAGCUUCUUUAGGAUCUACAAUAUCUCUGACGGUGUUCAGCAGAAGGAAAAUUGCUUAUCACAGUGGUCUCUACCGUUGGCUGGUGCUCGGUUUAUGGUGAACACUCGCUGGAGAUUCAGUGAGGUCUGAAUGCCUCAUUGAUUAAAGUGCCUACCUGUUACCCCGGAUUGUGACCUUCGAAUGUCGGGAUUCACGACCACAGCAACUAUGCAGGAAGCAGUGCCACGGAAGCGUGCAGUUUGCAUUCCUACACAGAGCUGUUAGGUGAAAAGACAGGGGAGGAGAGUCACAAAAUGCGAAGACAGAGAUACAUUUCACCAACUUGCAGAAGUCUGUUCUAAUCAUAUGCAUAUGAUGCUCCUGUUAGGAUCAGGUGGAAAUGUUUUUACUUCCUACAGGGGACAGCCAAUCCCUCAAUAGCAGAGGCCUCGCCUCAUAACCAGGGUUCACCCCCUGCCUCUGUCUUUGACUGCUACUACUAUGUGGUUGUUAUUCUGACCUUCUGUUUUAUCUCAAUAAACCUGUUUGGCCCUUU